Molecule: transfer RNA, 66 nt
Filed under: Idris sp. MM-2013
Lineage: Eukaryota; Metazoa; Arthropoda; Insecta; Hymenoptera; Scelionidae
Description: tRNA-Ala
Source: RNAcentral
AGGAUAAUAAUUAAAAAAUAAUAUUUAUUUUGCAUAUAAAAUUUAAUAGCGAGUUAUUUUAUCUUA